AUGUCAACUCUUUUUGUUACAGACAUGGGGAAUGAGCAGUGCACCUAUUGCUGGGUACCUCUUGCUUUGGUAACUACAAUUAUGAUUAUUUCCUUGCUGAAAAAUAUUUCAUACUAUUUAAAAGAAAAGAAACAAAAAGAAUACUUUCCAGGUUACAUAUAUGAAGACAACCCUGAAAAUAGCCCAAGUUAUGGUGAAUUUAAUACUGAAGAAUCUCCUGUUUAUGACAACCUAAAUCACCGCCGUCUAGAAAUGCUAGGUAAGUUGCAUUUAAGGUUUUCAUUUUAUUUCACUUCUGACAUGGGAGGUGAAACAUAAUCUCAACCACACCUACCCCUCUAUAUUUGCAGGCUGCACCAUCCACUCCUUGAAAAUACCUCACUCCCCAAAAUCCAAAAAGCAAACCUUUAUUUUUCCAUUGCAAAUAAGGGAUACUAUUUUCCUACACCACUUUUAUCAUAAGACUUGAGCAUCCAGCUUUUAGUAUUCAUGAAGUUUCCUGGAACCAAGUCCCAGCAGAUAUCAAAGGACCACUUCCAAAUCCAUCCAUAUAUUGCACAAGAUUUCUCUAGCCUAAAAUGAUAAAUUUUAAUAUAUUGGGUUUAUGGUUCCCGUCCCCUUGAUCAGGUCAUGUAAGUGUUAUUUAUUGCUAUAAUUGUAUUAUUUUACUUUGCUUAAAUCAUGUGUUAUUAUGUUGCUAUGUAAUGUUUGUGUUGUUUUUAUGAUUGGAAACCACCCUGAGUCCCAUCUGGGAGAUAGGGCGGUAUAUAAAUAAAGUUUUAUUAUUAUAAUAUUAUUAUUAUCUUGAGCAUUCUGAAACCUGCAGAACAUUCCACUUCUUUUCAAGCAAAAAAUCACUUCUCUAUUGCACAAAAAUACAACCUAGAUUGGACCCAUAAUGGCCCUCUCACCCCAGUACCUGCAAACUAUUUUCAGCAACUUGAUUAAUUAAAAUACAUUAAAGAAAAAUUUAAAAACUCAAAUAUUUAAUUUUGGAAGAAUCUCCUACCUUCAAACAGCAAGUCUUCCAUUAAAUUUCCCCAAGGCAACCAAGCUCAUACAUUUCCAGUUGUAAAAAUGGCUGUGCCCUCCAGAAUUGUUGGAAAUCAACAGGCUCAACCCUGUGACCUCCAGAGUUAUGUCAAUUCCUUCCUUAUGUAAACUUCCUGAGUCCCUCCGGGUGAGAAGGGCGGGAUAGAAAUAUUUGAAAUAAAUAAAUAAAUAAAUAAAUAAAUAAAUAAAUAAAAUAAACUUCAAUUUUCAUCUGAAAAAAUGGAUGACAAACCUAGACGUGAAAAUGGACAUACACCACCUAUGACACUGAUUUUUAGCUGAAAUUCCUGAGAUAUAGCCUGCCACUAGGGCAAAACGUCCUUGCUCCAAUUGCCCAGUCAGAUAAUAUAACUGAAACCAAACAUUCUAUGUGGGGUGAAUUACUACAUUUUGUUUUGAAAAGAAAUAGAACGUCUAUGAGAACAAGCCCUAUGAGGAGCGGCUUAAAGAGCUGGGCAUGUUUAGCCUGCAGAAGAGAAGGCUGAGAGGAGACAUGAUAGUCAUGUACAAAUAUGUGAGGGGAAGUCAUAGGGAGGAGGGAGCAAGCUUGUUUUCUGCUGCCCUGCAGACUAGGACACAGAACAAUGGCUUCAAACUACAGGACAGGAGAUUCCACCUGAACAUCAGGAAGAACUUCCUCACUGUGAGAGCUGUUCGACAGUGGAACUCUCUCCCCCGGACUGUGGUGGAGGCUCCUUCUUUGGAGGCUUUUAAGCAGAGGCUGGAUGGCCAUCUGUCGGGGGUGCUUUGAAUGCGAUUUCCUGCUUCUUAGCAGGGGGUUGGACUGGAUGGCCCAUGAGGUCUCUUCCAACUCUACUAUUCUAUGAUUCUAUGAUUCUAUGAUUCUAUGACUAACGUCAUAUUUAGAAAUUAUGAUAUUGUAAAAUGGUUUUAAGAACUUAUAAUUUAGAAUUCACAUUUAUUAUUAUUGCUGAUCAAAGUGAGCCUGAAACACUACCUUUGCUAAUAAUGCCCCAACCAAAAGGUUUCUGAGAUUCUGCAAGGGACAUUAAGGACAUCAUCACACGGCCCAAAAUUUGGUGGUGGCAUGGUUUUUUUGUACUUUUGUCACGGAGCCUGCCGGCUCCCAUCACACACAUUAAAAGUACUUUUGGGGCAGUUCCAUGGUGGAACUGUCUCAAAAAUCAUGCCACUGCUGAAAAAUUUCCAGCAGUGGACGAUGGGAGGAUUCCUGUCUUUCCAUAAGAAAAGAUGGGUUAGCCCCCUUCUAAGCCAGCUCCACUGGCUGCCGAUAUGCUACUGAGCCCAAUUCAAAGUACUGGUUUUGACCUAUAAAGCUCUAAACAGUUCUGGCCCUAUUUACUUGUCUGAACGUAUCUCCUUCUAUGAGCCAGCAAGAUCCCUAAGAUCAUCCGGAGAUGCCCUGCUCUCGGUCCCACCUGCCUCGCAAGCAC
RNAcentral lists this long non-coding RNA (2468 nucleotides) under Anolis carolinensis (green anole). Its description in RNAcentral is "lncRNA (ENSACAG00000037446.1)". Lineage: Eukaryota; Metazoa; Chordata; Lepidosauria; Squamata; Anolidae. The record is from RNAcentral.